GCUGAGGUAAUAACUCACUUGGUAGAGCAGGAAACUCUUAAUCUCAGGGUUGCGGGUUCGAGUCCCGCGUUGGGCA
Non-coding RNA from Podarcis lilfordi (Lilford's wall lizard), 76 nucleotides. Lineage: Eukaryota; Metazoa; Chordata; Lepidosauria; Squamata; Lacertidae. The record is from the annotation of a GenBank genome assembly.